CCUGCCGUCAACCAGAACGGUCGUUUUUAACUUUAGUACGAAUCCUUUAUUUUUUUUUCCACGACAGUCUAUGUUGAAAAACAUGGCUGACUCAGAAAACGGACCCCCGGUGUGUUCCGGGUCACAAAACACAAUCUGGUAAUAUGUUUUUAAAAUUUAAUUUAUAUUUGCUUUACAAUUAUACAAUUAACAAUGUUAAAGUACAACUUUAUUUUAAUAAUAAUUAUAUAGAAGAGUGAGUAAUGAUUUUAUACAUGUCAACUUGGUAGUAAUUAAAUAAUGAUGGACAAUAUUACUAAUAGUGAUUUAUCUACACACACGCACAAUACUCUAGUCAGUGUAUACAACUGACGCUUCUUAUUUUUUUUUUUAAAAAAAAUCUUAUAUUAACAUUUACAGUGGGUCAAAAAAGACUCCGUACACUGAUGUUAGAUUUUUUCCAUUACACAUAAUGAUAAUUAAAAAGUUGAAUAACUGUAUAUUUUCUACGACAAUUUAUUAGUAAACACAUGCAAAUUAUGUUUUUAGAAAAAUAAAGCAUAUAUAUAUUAAUUAUUUUAUUAUUUACUUGUAUAUUUAUAAAUAAAUGUAGAAAAAAACACAAAAAAAAAGGUUUCCGUACACAAUACGAAUAUUUGAUAAAAAUAGUGUUGAGUUGGGAAAAACUCGUGAUAUUGAGAGUUCUAUCAUAAAUUGAGACAAUAAUAUAGUCUGGCAAUAUAAUCUGACGAUAAAACCCGGUGAGCAUGAUCAGCGCGACAGUAGGUACGUACCUAGCCAUCAGUCGUACUGUAAGUUUUAUUCAUUUAUUUACAUUAAACAAUGGAAAUACCGAUUGUUGUUCGUAAAAUAGUAGUUCAACAAAGAGAAGAUGGGAAUUCUCUCAGAAUCAAAUCAAAAUACUACGGCCAUUCUAAGGACAAUUGUGAUGGAACCAAAAUCCAGUGCACCCAAACUGGCAGGUAUGAUUGACACUGACUAUAAUAUAAAAGUUGUGCCACAGAUCAUUCAUAAUGUAUUAAGAAACGCAAGAUAUAACUGAUAGAACAAGAUAUAAUAUAUAUAUGCUUUAUUUUUCUAAAAACAUAAUUUUCAUGUGUACAUACAUCAUCAUUUUCAUACUAAUAAAUUGUCGUAAAAAAUAUAAAGUUAUUCAAUUAUUUAAUUAUCAUUAUGCGUAAUGGGAAAAAUCUAACAUCCGUGUACGGAGACUUUUUUGACCCACUGUAUAUAUUAAGAUAAUUUAAAAAUUUAAUAAUAAGACAUCUUAAAUACUAAACAAUUUAUAUUAGUUAUAAAUUCAAUUUAUUUGAUUUUUUAAUAAAUGACCC
Non-coding RNA from Cinara cedri, 1331 nucleotides. The record is from the annotation of a GenBank genome assembly. NCBI's taxonomy places the organism in Eukaryota, Metazoa, Arthropoda, Insecta, Hemiptera, Aphididae.